This 291-nucleotide ribosomal RNA is filed under the name Vibrio alginolyticus. Its description in RNAcentral is "partial 16S ribosomal RNA". It matches the Rfam family "Bacterial small subunit ribosomal RNA", at positions 294 to 577 of the family's 1533-position model. The record is from RNAcentral. RNAcentral also lists the same sequence under 1 other name. Lineage: Bacteria; Pseudomonadati; Pseudomonadota; Gammaproteobacteria; Vibrionales; Vibrionaceae.
GAGAGGAUGAUCAGCCACACUGGAACUGAGACACGGUCCAGACUCCUACGGGAGGCAGCAGUGGGGAAUAUUGCACAAUGGGCGCAAGCCUGAUGCAGCCAUGCCGCGUGUGUGAAGAAGGCCUUCGGGUUGUAAAGCACUUUCAGUCGUGAGGAAGGCGGCGUCGUUAAUAGCGGCGUUGUUUGACGUUAGCGACAGAAGAAGCACCGGCUAACUCCGUGCCAGCAGCCGCGGUAAUACGGAGGGUGCGAGCGUUAAUCGGAAUUACUGGGCGUAAAGCGCAUGCAGGUG